Molecule: small RNA, 106 nt
Filed under: Helianthus annuus (common sunflower)
Lineage: Eukaryota; Viridiplantae; Streptophyta; Magnoliopsida; Asterales; Asteraceae
Source: RNAcentral
UGAAGCAACAAGGAGGUAUGACGGUGAUAACUCCGCAGUUAAGCGUGCUUGGGCGAGAGUAGUACUAGGAUGGGUGACCCCCUGUGAAGAUCUCGUGUUGCAACCA